This is a long non-coding RNA of Gasterosteus aculeatus aculeatus (three-spined stickleback), 859 nucleotides long. Lineage: Eukaryota; Metazoa; Chordata; Actinopteri; Perciformes; Gasterosteidae. The record is from Ensembl.
AGCGCAAGAUGUCCCGCGCUGGGCCGCAGCAGAUUCCCGUCCCGGCCUCCCGACCCAAGCCCAUGACCCCCGAGCCAAUGCCACGAUCCAUGCCCCCGACCCCCGAGCCAGUGCCACGAUCCAUGCCCCCGACCCCCGAGCCAGUGCCACGAUCCAUGUCCCCGAGCCCCGAGCCAGUGCCACGAUCCAUGCCCCCGGUACCAGCACCACGUUCCAUGCCCCUGACCCGACCAGUCCCGGCGCCACGUUCCAUGCCCCCGACCCGACCAGCUCCGGCGCCACGUUCCAUGCCCCCGACCCGACCAGUUCCGGCGCCACGUUCCAUGCCCCCGACCCGACCAGUUCCGGCGCCACGCUCCAUGCCCCCGACCCGACCAGUUCCGGUGCCACGCUCCAUGCCCCCGACCAGUUCCGGCCCCACGCUCCAUGCCCCCGACCAGUACCGGCCCCACGCUCCAUGCCCCCAACUCGGCCAGUCCCCGCUCCGAGACUCAGGCUCCCUCCCUCCCAUCCCAUGGUCCUCUCCCACCCUCCCGUUGGUGAUUUGAGGGCCGUCUGGGAUCCGGCCCUUGAGGGGGGGGCUACGGGGUGGGUUAUGGGGGGGGCUGAACCGACGACUGCGGAGGUGUUCCGUUGUCCCCGAGCUGCCGCCGCCGACCCCGGAGGUUUCCCGUGUCCCCGAGCCUGCCAUUCUAGAGACGUUCCGUGCCCUGCAGUCGCCGCUCCGGAGCCGGCUUGGUGACCGCCCGCCGGGCCGACCCCCAGAGUUUCCCGGGUGGUCCGACCAACGUCUCUGGUUUCCCUGCCCCCCCACCCCUUGUUUUGCUCUAGUGUGAGCCGCCUGGAAGUCGGUCCUUGG